AGAGUUUGAUCCUGGCUCAGGAUGAACGCUAGCGGCAGGCUUAACACAUGCAAGUCGAGGGGCAGCGGGUCGUAGCAAUACGAUGCCGGCGACCGGCGCAAGGGUGCGUAACGCGUGAGCAAUCUGCCCGUAUCAGGGGGAUAAGCGAUGGAAACGUCGUCUAAUACCGCAUAACAGCCGAGGGGGCAUCUCCUUGGUUUGAAAGCUUCGGUGGAUACGGAUGAGCUCGCGAGACAUUAGUUAGUUGGCGGGGUAACGGCCCACCAAGACCGCGAUGUCUAGGGGAACUGAGAGGUUGGUCCCCCACACUGGAACUGAGACACGGUCCAGACUCCUACGGGAGGCAGCAGUGAGGAAUAUUGGACAAUGGCCGGAAGGCUGAUCCAGCCAUGCCGCGUGAAGGAUAAAGUGACGUACGUGUACGUUUUUGUAGGUACCGCAUGAAUAAGGACCGGCUAAUUCCGUGCCAGCAGCCGCGGUAAUACGGAAGGUCCGGGCGUUAUCCGGAUUUAUUGGGUUUAAAGGGAGCGCAGGCGGAGGCUUAAGCGUGACGUGAAAUGUAGCCGCUCAACGGCUGAGUUGCGUCGCGAACUGGGUUUCUUGAGUGAGUGCGACGUCAGCGGAAUUCGUGGUGUAGCGGUGAAAUGCUUAGAUAUCACGAAGAACCCCGAUUGCGAAGGCAGCUGACGAGCCCUUUACUGACGCUAAAGCUCGAAGGUGCGGGUAUCGAACAGGAUUAGAUACCCUGGUAGUCCGCACGGUAAACGAUGGAUGCCCGCUGUAUGCGAUAUACUGUAUGCGGCCAAGCGAAAGCGUUAAGCAUCCCACCUGGGGAGUACGCCGGCAACGGUGAAACUCAAAGGAAUUGACGGGGGCCCGCACAAGCGGAGGAACAUGUGGUUUAAUUCGAUGAUACGCGAGGAACCUUACCCGGGCUUGAACUGCAGGGGAACGAUCCAGAGAUGGUGAGGUCAGCAAUGACCCCUGUGGAGUNCUGCAUGGUUGUCGUCAGCU
RNAcentral lists this ribosomal RNA (1014 nucleotides) under unidentified rumen bacterium JW10. RNAcentral describes it as "bacterial SSU rRNA". It matches the Rfam family "Bacterial small subunit ribosomal RNA", at positions 8 to 1060 of the family's 1533-position model. The record is from RNAcentral. Lineage: Bacteria; Pseudomonadati; Bacteroidota; Bacteroidia; Bacteroidales; Bacteroidaceae.